UAAGGUUUAACCUGCCCGAUGAAAUUUGAAUGGCCGCGGUAUUUUGACUGUGCUAAGGUAGCAUAAUCAUUAGUUUUUUAAUUGAAAGCUGGAAUGAAGGGUUGGAUGAAAAAUUAACUGUCUCUAAUUAAAUUUAUUAGAAUUUUAUUUUUAAGUUAAAAAGCUUAAAUAUAUUUAAAAGACGAGAAGACCCUAUAGAGUUUAAUAUAUCUAAUUUAUUUUUAUUUAGAAUUUAUUUUUUUUAAUAAUGAUGUAUUUAAUUGGGGUGAUUAAAAAAUUUAAUAAACUUUUUUUAUAAAUUUAUAUUGAUUAAUAAAUUAAUGAUCCAAAUAUUUUGAUUAAAAGAUAAAUUACCUUAGGGAUAACAGCGUAAUUUUAUUAAAGAGUUCAAAUCGAAAAUAAAGUUUGCGA
This 411-nucleotide ribosomal RNA is filed under the name Longitarsus membranaceus. RNAcentral describes it as "partial 16S large subunit ribosomal RNA". The record is from RNAcentral. Lineage: Eukaryota; Metazoa; Arthropoda; Insecta; Coleoptera; Chrysomelidae.